UUGCGUAGAGUACCUUAGUACUGCACUUCGACGCGUUGGCCUUUGAUUGAUGGUGCUUGCACCUGAUUGAUUUUGGUCGUACCGAGUGGCGUACGGGUGAGUAACACGUUGGUUACUUGCCCAGAAGCGGGGCAUAACAUUUGGAAACAGAUGCUAAUACCGCAUAACAGCGUUGAUCGCAUGAACAACGCUUAAAAGAUGGCUUCUCGCUAUCACUUCUGGAUGGACCUGCGGUGCAUUAGCUUGUUGGUGGGGUAACGGCCUACCAGGGCGAUGAUGCAUAGCCGAGUUGAGAGACUGAUCGGCCACAAUGGGACUGAGACACGGCCCAUACUCCUACGGGAGGCAGCUUUAGGGAAUCUUCCACAAUGGGCGCGAGCCUGAUGGAGCCAUGAUAAAAGAUUAAAGAGGGGUUUCGGCUCGAAAAGUCCUGUGGAAAAAAAAAAACACGUAUGAGAUUAACUGUUCCAUACUUUGACGGAAUUUAACCAGAAAGUCACGGGCUAACUACGUGCCAACAGCCGGGGUAAUAACGUAGGUGGCAAGCUUUAUCCGGGAUUUAAUGGGGCGUAAAGAGAGUGCAGCGGUUUUCUAAGCCUGAUGGGAAAAGCCUUCGGCUUAACCCGGAAAAGUGAUCGAAAACUGGAAAAUUUGAGUGCAGAAAAGGUUGUGGAACUUCCAUGUGUAGCGGUGGAAAUGCGAAAAUAUAUGGAAGAACACGGGGGCGAAGGCGGCUACCUGGCCUGCAACUGACGCUGAGACUCGAAAGCAUGGUUAGCGAACAGAUUAGAUACCCUGGGAAGUCCAUGCCGUAAACGAUGAGUGCUAGGUGUUGGAGGGUUUCCGGCCCUUCAGUGCCGGACCUACCGCAUUAAGGCACUCCCGCCUGGGGGAUACGACCGAAGGUUGAACUCAAAGGAUUUGACGGGGGCCCGCACAGGCUGUGGAAGCAUGUGGUUAAAUCCAAGCUACGCGAAGAACCUACCAGGCCUUGACAUCUUGCGCCCAUCCUAGAAUAGGGGUUUCCUUCGGGAACGCAUUGCAGUGGGCAUGGUCGUCGUCGCUCGGACGGGGAGAAUGUUGCUCAGUUCCCGCACCGACGCAACCUGUUACUGGUGGCAGCAUUAGGUGGGGCACUCUAGGGGGAGUGCGUUACAAACGGAGAAGUUGGGAGUACAGCUCGAACCUCUCAGGUCUGUAGCCUGGUCUACCGGUGCCAAGUGGAGUUACAUGGAUGCGUGGAAUACCUCGGGAGUCAGUAGUAUC
RNAcentral lists this ribosomal RNA (1266 nucleotides) under Limosilactobacillus fermentum. RNAcentral describes it as "bacterial SSU rRNA". It matches the Rfam family "Bacterial small subunit ribosomal RNA", at positions 1 to 1275 of the family's 1533-position model. Lineage: Bacteria; Bacillati; Bacillota; Bacilli; Lactobacillales; Lactobacillaceae. The record is from RNAcentral.